GAUCGUUUGAUCCGCUUUUGCGAGGUCAUGAUCCAUGGACAGUCUUGUUUCCAAUCGAGUAGAUCUAGGCUUAUGCUGUUUCUGGAAACGGUCUUUGGAUCUGGACGAAGGAUGGACGGAUUUUAUGUCUGCCCUACCUGUGCGUAUCAGAUCAGAUCUGCUGAAGCUGCCUUAUGAGACGGGAUCGAGAUCGUUAUGGUGCGGUAGAUCAUAGAAGCUGUUAAUAGUUGGCAGGAAUUAUAGUAAGCUAGACAAAGGUUGACUUAUGCUGGGUAAUUUAUUCACAGUAUUGUUUUAUUAUCGUUGUUAUGGUUUUGAAGAAGUUAUGUGUUGUGAGGAAGAAAAAAAUUGUGGCGUUGGAAAAGAAUGUUAUGGAAAAAAUUAUGUGAUAGUGAGCAAAAAAAAGAGAGGUAAGAUUUGUGAGGUUAAGAUGUGAGAGAUGAAUUUACGCUGUGUGGUUGUGAUCGACCUUUGCCAUGUCAGGUGCGCUUGCAUGGCAGGUCAAAAACCCUAAUAAAAUUAUUAUUAUUUUUGUUUUCGGGGGAGAUGGUACGGGGGUUUUAUUUUUUUUAUCCCCGGCUCUCCCCCUUGCUGGUGUUCUUGCCUUUUUUUUUCCUGUGUUUCCCUCUUUGGUUUCUUGCUGCUUGACUGAAUUGUUUGGUUCUAUGCCAAACAUGCAACCACUUACAGUCUAAAGGCAAUAUAGAUUUCCCCACACAGUUUGAAA
Pistacia vera is the source of this 727-nucleotide long non-coding RNA. RefSeq lists it as uncharacterized. The record is from RefSeq and is a predicted model, not a curated record. Lineage: Eukaryota; Viridiplantae; Streptophyta; Magnoliopsida; Sapindales; Anacardiaceae. The transcript has 2 exons.